ACAAGGAAGGGCAUAGUAAGUGGUGAAAUGCUUUAGCAAGUUGAAAAUAAGCAUAUCCGAAGAUUCUCGAAUAGGUCAACCUUUUGAAUUGCUACUGAAUCCAUGGGUAGACAAGAAGCAACUUGGAAAACUGAAACAUCUUAGUACUCGAAGGGAAAAAAAAAGCAAAAGUGAUUCUCGUAGUAGCGACAAGUGAAAUGGGAGCAGCCUAAACCAUGAAACGCGAUUGUUGAAGAGCAAUAAAAGCAUUUUGCUGCUAAGCAAAGUGUGAAGUGUUGAACCCUAGUUAACAGAUUCAA
RNAcentral lists this non-coding RNA (299 nucleotides) under Gossypium hirsutum (cotton). RNAcentral describes it as "Bacterial large subunit ribosomal RNA". It matches the Rfam family "Bacterial large subunit ribosomal RNA", at positions 46 to 369 of the family's 2925-position model. Lineage: Eukaryota; Viridiplantae; Streptophyta; Magnoliopsida; Malvales; Malvaceae. The record is from Rfam by way of RNAcentral.